Molecule: small RNA, 127 nt
Filed under: Marmota monax (woodchuck)
Lineage: Eukaryota; Metazoa; Chordata; Mammalia; Rodentia; Sciuridae
Source: RNAcentral
GCCAGACAUGGUGGUGCAUACCUGUAAUCCCAGCAACUGGGGAGGCUGAGGCAGGAGGAUCGAAAAUUCGAGGUCGGCCUCAACAAUUUAGCAAGGCCCUAAGCAAUUUAGAGAGACCCUGUCUCAA